This is a transfer RNA of Puccinia graminis f. sp. tritici, 98 nucleotides long. It matches the Rfam family "tRNA". From Rfam's summary of the family: Transfer RNA (tRNA) molecules are approximately 80 nucleotides in length. Their secondary structure includes four short double-helical elements and three loops (D, anti-codon, and T loops). The record is from Rfam. NCBI's taxonomy places the organism in Eukaryota, Fungi, Basidiomycota, Pucciniomycetes, Pucciniales, Pucciniaceae.
GGUCCGGUGGUGUAGUUGGUUAUCACACUCGCUUCACACUCAUACAGCUCUUGGGAAGGAGUCGCGAGAGGUCAUGAGUUCGAGCCUCGUCCGGAUCA